ACCUGAAAUACUAUUCUUGUGACGCAGGGGGGUGUCU
RNAcentral lists this small RNA (37 nucleotides) under Bombyx mori (domestic silkworm). RNAcentral describes it as "ovarian small RNA-11360". Lineage: Eukaryota; Metazoa; Arthropoda; Insecta; Lepidoptera; Bombycidae. The record is from RNAcentral.